UGGGUAACCUGCCUCAAAGAGGGGAAUAGCCUCCCCGAAAGGGAGAUUAAUACCGCAUAAUAUGUUAUAG
RNAcentral lists this ribosomal RNA (70 nucleotides) under uncultured bacterium. RNAcentral's name for it is "partial 16S ribosomal RNA". The record is from RNAcentral.